GGCGGAUCUCCGGUCCAGCGGGACUCUGGGGUUCGAGUUCAGCCGCACGCGGUGCUCGUACACCGCCGCCACAUAGGACAGAUGAUCCGCGGCGAGGAUGAGGUGCAGUCCGCUCAAAUAGAGCAAAACCCCGGCAAACCCGAGCGCCAUGAGCAGGGUGAACACGAACUCGUGUGGGUCAGUCUGCCGUGAGCUCAAAAUGAAAGUCAAUUCGAUCCAAUGUUCUUCAAAAUAUUUGGUGUUCCACAGAAGAAAAGUUCGGAAGUACACAAGGUAAUUGCACAUCUCCGCCUCUUGCGAGGGUGUAAUGUGUAACAUUCAAAUAAAAGCCCAAGAUCAACUCUGCUGUUCACAUUUACAUCCUUCCAGAGAAUCGACAGACGCAGAGAACAGUCAUCAGUGGCAAACGUGACCUGAAUAUGGCUUCCAAAACUCAAAUACUACUACUACUGCUAGUGGCUGUAAUGAUUGCAAGCUAUGGUCUUACCAAUGCCACCGCAGCCAACAGUACAGCCAACAGCACCGCGGGAUCUCUUUCUCCUGUGGGGAUGGUGGGGCUGCCUGGUCUUCUGAUCUACACGCUCACCUCCACUGCGAUUCUCAAACUCUUCCAGCUCAUCUGAUCAUCAACUCCUGUCUGUCACACAGCUAAACCUAUGGGAUAUGGGGUCUGCACAAGUUUUUAGCACUUUAAUGUCAGACUGUGUCAGAUUACUGAUGGUUUUUGCAGAUACUUACUGCUCUGAUAAUUAUCUGCAUGCUAUGAAAAUCUAGAAAAAAAUAUGUAUGAUUGUAUAUAAAGACUUAAGAAUAAAGAAGGAAAAAAACA
Ctenopharyngodon idella (grass carp) is the source of this 829-nucleotide long non-coding RNA. RefSeq lists it as uncharacterized. The transcript is spliced from 4 exons. Lineage: Eukaryota; Metazoa; Chordata; Actinopteri; Cypriniformes; Xenocyprididae. The record is from RefSeq and is a predicted model, not a curated record.